GCAUGGCGCAAUGACUGGGCCAGCCAAGGCGGGGAUGGAAAGGAGGAGGUUCUCGGCCCAGUGGCUGUAUGACAUGGCGAAGCCUGUAGGAGCCGUAAACUCAUGGUGGACACGGUGGAUCUUCUCGUAGCCCCACUUGGUGUGCAGAAGACGGUGGAUCCAGUAGCUGAGGUAGUCCUCCAAGAGAGAGUAUACCACCAGCUGCGCAACUGUCUCCCUGACGGACGGCAACGGCAGUCCCAUUCGAGUCCUCAGUAUCUGGUACGUGCAUAGCAUGAACAUGCAUCAGCAUAUAUAAUUCAGUUGCUAUAGUACUAGCACGCGAAAUGAAUACGUUUAUGGUUAUUGUAAGGGUUUCAUUGAGUAGAGGACUUGUUCAGAGUGCAAACUUUAGCUUGUCCAUAUAUCCAUAGUGGUGUUCUUUCAUAAAACCAGCUCACGGCUACCCCUCUCUCUAGUUAUAUAUUUUUGCUAUGGUUUUACACGCCUUUUAUUUAGAUGUGUGUGGAGUUUGAUGCAUGCAAGAAAAUAAUUGAAUAGUUGUAUGUAUAUAUAGUAGAGACCUUGGCGGCGGCGGGAUACGAGACGAGCUGGAAGCCAACGGCGACGGGAAAGACGAACGCCGCUUCCAUAUAGCAGCGGAGGGAGGCUGCCAGCGGCACCUGUACCCGGGGCUGCAGCUUGUACGGCAGCACGACGGACGGAGCGAACUGCUCGAGGACUAGGAGGGGCAGCGGUGUGAUCGUGUAGAUGACGAAGAGGAUACAUGUAGUGAGGCAGUGGAGCCAGGAAUCUGGCAUCGCCGCCGAGUACUGAUACCACACAGCUUCCGCCCAUGUCAUGGCGCGCCCCAGCGCC
Molecule: long non-coding RNA, 858 nt
Filed under: Setaria italica (foxtail millet)
Lineage: Eukaryota; Viridiplantae; Streptophyta; Magnoliopsida; Poales; Poaceae
Description: long non-coding RNA (SITA_LNC003737)
Source: RNAcentral